This 402-nucleotide ribosomal RNA is filed under the name uncultured bacterium. RNAcentral's name for it is "bacterial SSU rRNA". It matches the Rfam family "Bacterial small subunit ribosomal RNA", at positions 355 to 774 of the family's 1533-position model. The record is from RNAcentral.
UGGGGAAUCUUGCACAAUGGGGGAAACCCUGAUGCAGCGACGCCGCGUGAACGAUGAAGCUCUUCGGGGUGUAAAGUUCUUUCGACAGGAACGAUAAUGACGGUACCUGGAGAAGAAGCUUCGGCUAACUACGUGUCAGCAGCCGCGGUUAUACGUAGGCAGCGAGCGUUGUUCGGAGUUACUGGGCGUAAAUAGUGCGUAGGCGGCGAGCCAAGUUUGGUGUGAAAUCUCCCGGCUUAACCGGGAGGGUGCGCCGAAAACUGGUUGGCUGGAGUAUGGGAGAGGAAAGCGGAAUUCCAGGUGUAGCGGUGAAAUGCGUAGAUAUCAGGAGGAACACCUGCGGUGUAGACAGCUUUCUGGACCAAAACUGUCGCUGAGGCACGAAAGCGUGGGUAGCAAACA